GUAACAAGGUUUCCGUAGGUGAACCUGCGGAAGGAUCAUUACCGAGUGCGGGCUGCCUCCGGGCGCCCAACCUCCCACCCGUGACUACCUAACACUGUUGCUUCGGCGGGGAGCCCUCUCGGGGGCGAGCCGCCGGGGACUACUGAACUUCAUGCCUGAGAGUGAUGCAGUCUGAGUCUGAAUAUAAAAUCAGUCAAAACUUUCAACAAUGGAUCUCUUGGUUCCGGCAUCGAUGAAGAACGCAGCGAACUGCGAUAAGUAAUGUGAAUUGCAGAAUUCAGUGAAUCAUCGAGUCUUUGAACGCACAUUGCGCCCCCUGGCAUUCCGGGGGGCAUGCCUGUCCGAGCGUCAUUGCUGCCCAUCAAGCCCGGCUUGUGUGUUGGGUCGUCGUCCCCCCCGGGGGACGGGCCCGAAAGGCAGCGGCGGCACCGUGUCCGGUCCUCGAGCGUAUGGGGCUUUGUCACCCGCUCGAUUAGGGCCGGCCGGGCGCCAGCCGACGUCUCCAACCAUUUUCUUCAGGUUGACCUCGGAUCAGGUAGGGAUACCCGCUGAACUUAAGCAUAUCAAUAAGCGGAGGAAAAGAAACCAACCGGGAUUGCCCCAGUAACGGCGAGUGAAGCGGCAAGAGCUCAAAUUUGAAAUCUGGCCCCUCCGGGGUCCGAGUUGUAAUUUGCAGAGGAUGCUUCGGGUGCGGCCCCUGUCUAAGUGCCCUGGAACGGGCCGUCAGAGAGGGUGAGAAUCCCGUCUUGGGCAGGGUGCCCGUGCCCGUGUGAAGCUCCUUCGACGAGUCGAGUUGUUUGGGAAUGCAGCUCUAAAUGGGUGGUAAAUUUCAUCUAAAGCUAAAUACCGGCCGGAGACCGAUAGCGCACAAGUAGAGUGAUCGA
This 884-nucleotide unclassified non-coding RNA is filed under the name Aspergillus cvjetkovicii. Its description in RNAcentral is "sequence contains ITS1, 5.8S rRNA gene, ITS2". The stretch from base 522 to 884 matches the Rfam family "Eukaryotic large subunit ribosomal RNA", at positions 1 to 360 of the family's 3401-position model. The record is from RNAcentral. Lineage: Eukaryota; Fungi; Ascomycota; Eurotiomycetes; Eurotiales; Aspergillaceae.